This 1938-nucleotide long non-coding RNA is filed under the name Prunus dulcis (almond). Lineage: Eukaryota; Viridiplantae; Streptophyta; Magnoliopsida; Rosales; Rosaceae. The record is from RNAcentral.
GAAGAACGGAUAUUGUGAACAGAUUGACCAGAAGAAAAAAAGAAGAAGAAAAAUGAAGCAUGGGACGGCGAAAACGGAGGCUUUUCUAAGGCUUUGUGCAGUCUUAGUCCUAGUCCUUACGGCAUGUUUAGUAGGUUUCGAUUCUCAAACCAAAUAUGUGAUUUUCAUUUAUAGAAAAGCUACCUUCAGAGAUUUGAAGUGCCUCUCGUAAGUUCCCUUUUUCCUCUCUUUGCUCUUUCUCUUUGACAUUUGGCCUUUCGAUUUUCUUCCUUGCUUACUUAUAAGUACGUUAACGUUCAAAACUUGGUUUUUUUUUUGGAAAGAGUUUUGGUUUAUGUUGUUUCUGUGGCUGCCGGUUACAAUCUGCUUCAACUUGGAAAGUGUUCAAAGUCAGCUUGGUGCAAAGAAAACUUGAAAGGGUCUAACAUAUACGUAGCUUGGCUUUGCUUCUUGCUGGAUCAGGUAUUUACCCUUUCCCAUGUAUAGAGUUUGCCUCUCUUUGGAUGUCUUUUAUGAGUUUUUAUUUUUAUUUUUUAUACAAGCGAUAUUCUACUUUAAUCUAAUCUAAAUUACGGGGAUUGCGAUUCGAAUUCGAGUGCAGAGUAGAGUGCACAUCUACUUUAGCCAACUUGACGCCCAUAUUUGCAUGUCUUUUAUGAGUUCUUCAUAUAGAUAAAACCAAAAUUAUAGGUAUUGUUAAAAGAAAUUUGAAGAUAACUUAGGAUUAAAUUUUUAGCUGGCUUAUAUUUUAUGCACUUGCACAAUCUUUAUUUUUUCCUUUUUUGUUGCUUUUGUACACAAUAAUACUCCCAGUUCCAAGAAUAACUUUUGUUUAUGUUUCAGAUACACCAGCCAGGAACAUAAAAAAAUUUCUUCAGUCCCAGGACAAGCAACACUUAGGAUGUCUUAUUUAAUUCGUCUCUCUUUGAUGAGAAAGUUUUCCCAAUGUUCCUUCCCUAGUCUCUCUCUCGCGCCUACCCCAUCUCCCUCUUCUCCCAACUACCAAUUACCUUGCAAUCCCACAUAAACCACAUAUGCAUUCAGAGUAUAUGGAAAUCUAAUCUUCUUUGUACUUUACAUAUUACUAGCCUUCCCUUCGGAAACCAACCAAGGCAACUGGUUAAGAUGGGUGAGGGUAUAAAUCUUAGAUUUGGUCCUCUACUUAUUCAAACAAGUCAUUGUCUAUUAUUGUGAGCUUAUAACUAAACAGGAUACUAAAAUGAUUAUUUGUAUGAAGUCGUAUUAAGUUAGCCCUCAACCCUAACUCGUAGUGGCAUCCCACUCUCGAGAGGGAAACAAUUAUAGAGUCAACAAAAAAAUUAUAUAAAAAAUUUAAAAAUUCCACACUCUGUAAUGUUGUAUUUGUAACAUGUAAAUAAAUGAAACUAACCAUCUAUUCGUCUUGUUGCAUCUUGCUGCAUAUAAUUUGCUAAACAGGUAGCUGUGUACGUGACAUUUGGAGCAAACUCAGCUGCGCUUGAGGCUUCUGUGCUAGCAAUAAAAGGCGCACAAGAUUUUCAAUGGAUGAAGUUGUGCAACAAAUAUACAAGAUUCUGCUUUCAAAUUGGUGGGGCUUUGGCAUGUGGGUAUGUGGCCUGUAUCCUAAUGGCUUGGAUAUCCCUCAUCAGCGCCUUCAAUCUCUUUAGGCUUUACUCACCGAAACAAUUCCUUUUGUUAAAGAGCAGAGGGUGACAGGUUUUCUAAGCAAAUAAUGUAUAAAUUAUGAAUGUUUAUCUAGAAAUAAAUUUAAUGAAAUCAAAUAAAGCUUUGACACCAAAAGCAAUGGAUACUUGUAAAGCACAGACUUGUCAGAAGAGAAGGCACACAUUCGAGAAGAGAAGCAAAUAGAAUGGGAGUGACAGUUUUAUUGAUCACUUUAAUAUUCAUCUCUAAUUUUUAAUACAAGAAAAAUAGUCUAAAUUAUAAGUGAAAUGGGAG